GACGGCUGAUUUCGCAGCGCCACGAGGCGCUGAGCCCCAGCCCGGGCCGCCCCGGGCAUCAGCGAGCCGCGUCGCCACGAAGCAGAACUCGCGCUUGGACGAUGCCCGCCGGCGCUGGCCGACCGCCGUCUCGCCGCAGGAGCGGGUGGACGUGGGAGCGCUCGGAUAUUCCUUUGUCAUUUUUCAUGUAUGGACUGAGUCGUGAUCAUAAUUUUAUGAUGGUAGAUUUCAUUGAAGAGUGGGAAGUAAGACUCAACAGAUGGUUCAUCUUCUCGAAAAGGAUUUGAUAAUCUCCACAUGAUGCUCUUUCUAAAAAAUUCUGAGACUUGACAGUGGCAAAAUAAACAUGAUGAGUGAAGAGAAAUAAGGUAGUCUUGAUGGCCAUUUUUAAUAAAAUUCAAAGGAAAAUAAAACUAUUCUUGAACCUCUUUUGCUAUUUUAUUUCCAGUUUUCUGUUAACUUUGUGUGAAGAGG
RNAcentral lists this long non-coding RNA (474 nucleotides) under Catagonus wagneri (Chacoan peccary). RNAcentral's name for it is "lncRNA (ENSCWAG00000013789.1)". The record is from RNAcentral. Lineage: Eukaryota; Metazoa; Chordata; Mammalia; Artiodactyla; Tayassuidae.